GAUGAAGAACGCAGCGAAAUGCGAUAAGUAGUGUGAAUUGCAGAAUUCAGUGAAUCAUCGAAUCUUUGAACGCACAUUGCGCCCUUUGGUAUUCCUUAGGGCAUGCCUGUUCGAGCGUCAUUUAAACCUUCAAGCUCAGCUUGGUGUUGGGUGACUGUCCGCUUCACCGCGGACUCGCCUCAAAAUUAUUGGCGGCCGGUACAUUGGCUUCGAGCGCAGCAGAAACGCGAACUCGGGCCCGUCGUAUUGGCUCCCAGAAGCUAUCUUCACAAUUUUGACCUCGGAUCAGGUAGGGAUACCCGCUGAACCUAAGCAUAUCAAUAAGCGGAGGA
This 332-nucleotide unclassified non-coding RNA is filed under the name soil metagenome. RNAcentral describes it as "partial contains 5.8S ribosomal RNA, internal transcribed spacer 2, and large subunit ribosomal RNA". The stretch from base 1 to 120 matches the Rfam family "5.8S ribosomal RNA", at positions 35 to 154 of the family's 154-position model. The record is from RNAcentral.